This 440-nucleotide ribosomal RNA is filed under the name uncultured bacterium. RNAcentral's name for it is "partial 16S ribosomal RNA". It matches the Rfam family "Bacterial small subunit ribosomal RNA", at positions 339 to 795 of the family's 1533-position model. The record is from RNAcentral.
CUACGGGGCGCACCAGUGAGGAAUAUUGCACAAUGGGGGGAACCCUGAUGCAGCAACGCCGCGUGGAGGAUGACGCAUUUCGGUGUGUAAACUCCUUUUAUAUGUCAAGAAAAUGACGGUAGCAUAUGAAUAAGCACCGGCUAACUCCGUGCCAGCAGCCGACGGUAAUACGGAGGGUGCAAGCAUUACUCGGAAUCACUGGGCGUAAAGGACGCGUAGGCGGGUUGGAAAGUCAGGUGUGAAAUCCUACAGCUUAACUGUAGAACUGCACUUGAAACUUCUAAUCUAGAGUAUGGGAGGGGGAGAUGGAAUUAGUGGUGUAGGGGUAAUAUCCGUAGAUAUCACUAGGAAUACCUAAAGCGAAGGCGAUCUCCUGGAACAUUACUGACGCUAAGGCGUGAAAGCGUGGGGAGCAAACAGGAUUAGAUACCCGUGUAGUC